AAGUCGUAACAAGGUUUCCGUAGGUGAACCUGCGGAAGGAUCAUUAAAAAUUGUCUAAAUCAUAUGGACGAUUCAAUCCAUAUCCACCUUGUGUGCACAGUAAACGUUUGCUUUGGUAGGACUUGGGGUGCCGAAAGGAACAAACACUCCAACUCGGGUGACUGAGCGUGCCUGCCAGAGUUUUUAUGUCUCAAACAACGCUUAUAAUUUUUGACUGAAAAUUCGAUUUUAAUAUCAAAAUAAAAAUACAACUUUCAACAACGGAUCUCUUGGCUCUC
RNAcentral lists this unclassified non-coding RNA (278 nucleotides) under Endogonales sp. Its description in RNAcentral is "partial contains small subunit ribosomal RNA, internal transcribed spacer 1, and 5.8S ribosomal RNA". The stretch from base 1 to 46 matches the Rfam family "Eukaryotic small subunit ribosomal RNA", at positions 1786 to 1831 of the family's 1831-position model. Lineage: Eukaryota; Fungi; Mucoromycota; Endogonomycetes; Endogonales. The record is from RNAcentral.